UGCAUCAUGAUUUACAUUUGAGUGAGUGGCGAACUGGUGAGUAACACGUGGGAAACCUGCCCAGAAGCGGGGGAUAACACCUGGAAACAGAUGCUAAUACCGCAUAACAACUUGGACCGCAUGGUCCGAGUUUGAAAGAUGGCUUCGGCUAUCACUUUUGGAUGGUCCCGCGGCGUAUUAGCUAGAUGGUGGGGUAACGGCUCACCAUGGCAAUGAUACGUAGCCGACCUGAGAGGGUAAUCGGCCACAUUGGGACUGAGACACGGCCCAAACUCCUACGGGAGGCAGCAGUAGGGAAUCUUCCACAAUGGACGAAAGUCUGAUGGAGCAACGCCGCGUGAGUGAAGAAGGGUUUCGGCUCGUAAAACUCUGUUGUUAAAGAAGAACAUAUCUGAGAGUAACUGUUCAGGUAUUGACGGUAUUUAACCAGAAAGCCACGGCUAACUACGUGCCAGCAGCCGCGGUAAUACGUAGGUGGCAAGCGUUGUCCGGAUUUAUUGGGCGUAAAGCGAGCGCAGGCGGUUUUUUAAGUCUGAUGUGAAAGCCUUCGGCUCAACCGAAGAAGUGCAUCGGAAACUGGGAAACUUGAGUGCAGAAGAGGACAGUGGAACUCCAUGUGUAGCGGUGAAAUGCGUAGAUAUAUGGAAGAACACCAGUGGCGAAGGCGGCUGUCUGGUCUGUAACUGACGCUGAGGCUCGAAAGUAUGGGUAGCAAACAGGAUUAGAUACCCUGGUAGUCCAUACCGUAAACGAUGAAUGCUAAGUGUUGGAGGGUUUCCGCCCUUCAGUGCUGCAGCUAACGCAUUAAGCAUUCCG
RNAcentral lists this ribosomal RNA (816 nucleotides) under Lactiplantibacillus plantarum. Its description in RNAcentral is "bacterial SSU rRNA". It matches the Rfam family "Bacterial small subunit ribosomal RNA", at positions 68 to 871 of the family's 1533-position model. Lineage: Bacteria; Bacillati; Bacillota; Bacilli; Lactobacillales; Lactobacillaceae. The record is from RNAcentral.